RNAcentral lists this ribosomal RNA (329 nucleotides) under uncultured eukaryote. RNAcentral describes it as "partial 18S ribosomal RNA". It matches the Rfam family "Eukaryotic small subunit ribosomal RNA", at positions 1470 to 1796 of the family's 1831-position model. The record is from RNAcentral.
CCCUUAGAUGUUCUGGGCCGCACGCGCGCUACACUGAUGCAUUCAACGAGUCUAAAACCUGCCCUGAUAGGGGUGGGUAAUCUUUUGAAUGUGCAUCGUGAUUGGGAUAGAUGAUUGCAAUUUUUCAUCUUCAACGAGGAAUGCCUAGUAAACGCAAGUCAUCAGCUUGCAUUGAUUACGUCCCUGCCCUUUGUACACACCGCCCGUCGCUCCUACCGAUUGAAUGAUCCGAUGAAUAUCAUGGAUUGAGGAUGUAGGCAGGUUCGCCUGUCUUCAUCUUCGAGAAGUGAAGUAAAUCUUAUCAUUUAGAGGAAGGAGAAGUCGUAACA